GUCUCUCUCUUGAUCCAGAGCCCCUGGCCAUGCAGUUGUGAGGCAGAUGCAGGAGCCCAGCUUCCCAUGUCUGAGGUACCUGUUGGCCUGUGACACACACUCCCAGCUCUUCCUGUCCCACUUGCAGGGACACAGCGCUGUCUUCUGGGACGGGGACAAGGACGACAGGAACUACAGUGUGGUGAACGUAGAGAAGGGU
This is a non-coding RNA of Salvelinus sp. IW2-2015, 199 nucleotides long. NCBI's taxonomy places the organism in Eukaryota, Metazoa, Chordata, Actinopteri, Salmoniformes, Salmonidae. The record is from RefSeq and is a predicted model, not a curated record.